ACAUUUAACCAUCAACUAAUCAUGGAAAAGGAUCUAAAUGGAACAAACACCUAGACUUAGGGUUUUAUCUGACAGAAUUCCACGAGUUUUGGUGUUUGUCUAUUUCUGCAGGGGGUUAUCAGGAAAUACGGAAGAAAGGCCCACACGUCGGGUUUACAUAGAGAUAUUAACGUGCCGCGCAAUUUUCUAUCAUCUAGAAAACUCCAGAAGCCACGGG
Molecule: long non-coding RNA, 217 nt
Filed under: Sorghum bicolor (sorghum)
Lineage: Eukaryota; Viridiplantae; Streptophyta; Magnoliopsida; Poales; Poaceae
Description: long non-coding RNA (SBIC_LNC013921)
Source: RNAcentral